Molecule: ribosomal RNA, 253 nt
Filed under: uncultured bacterium
Lineage: Bacteria
Description: partial 16S ribosomal RNA
Rfam family: Bacterial small subunit ribosomal RNA
Source: RNAcentral
UACAGGGGGUGCAAACGUUGCUCGGAAUCAUUGGGCGUAAAGCGCACGUAGGCGGUCUGUUAUGUCGGAUGUGAAAGCCCUUGGCUCAACUGAGGAAGUGCAUCCGAAACUGGCAGGCUAGAGUACUAAAGAGGAUCGCGGAAUUCCCGGUGUAGAGGUGAAAUUCGUAGAUAUCGGGAGGAACACCGGUGGCGAAGGCGGGUCUCUGGGCCGAUACUGACGCUGAGGAGCGAAAGCGUGGGGAGCGAACAGG